RNAcentral lists this ribosomal RNA (440 nucleotides) under uncultured bacterium. RNAcentral describes it as "partial 16S ribosomal RNA". It matches the Rfam family "Bacterial small subunit ribosomal RNA", at positions 338 to 795 of the family's 1533-position model. The record is from RNAcentral.
CCUACGGGAGGCAGCAGUGGGGAAUAUUGCUCAAUGGGGGAAACUCUGAUGCAGCGACGCCGCGUGAGUGAAGAAGUCUCUCGGUAUGUAAAGCUCUAUUAGCAGGGAAGAAAAUGACGUUACCUGAUGAAGAAGCCUCUGCUAACUACGUACCAGCAGCCGCGGUCAUACGUCGGGGGCGAGCGUUAUCCGGAUUUACUGGGUGUAAAGGGAGCGUAGUCGGCAGCACAAGUCUGGAGUGAAAUGCCGGGGCUUAACCCCGGAACUGCUUUGGAAACUGUGCAGCUAGAGUGCCGGAGAGGUAAGUGGAAUUCCUAGUGUAGCGGUGAAAUGCGUAGAUAUUAGGAGGAACACCAGUGGCGAAGGCAGCUUACUGGACUGUAACUGACGUUGAGGCUCGAAAGCGUGGGGAGCAAACAGGAUUAGAUACCCUUGUAGUC